RNAcentral lists this long non-coding RNA (3877 nucleotides) under Populus tremula. RNAcentral describes it as "long non-coding RNA (PTRE_LNC001528)". Lineage: Eukaryota; Viridiplantae; Streptophyta; Magnoliopsida; Malpighiales; Salicaceae. The record is from RNAcentral.
ACGGCUCUGCUGCACCCGUUACUUACCAACCUUCAUCCUACACUCAAUAAGAUGGGAGGAACCUAGCCAGGUGUUAAGAUUCUUAUUUUUAUUUGGUGUCUGAUUUCUGGAUGUGGCCCUCUAAUUUUGGGACCCGCCCCCUUCAUCUCCCUUUCCCGUAUAAAAGUUUUUUUUUGGUCUUAUCUCAUGACUGGAUAUGAUGCCCAUGCCUGUAACGCUGAUUACCUUUAUAUGGAGCUCAAGCUGGAUGUGAUUUCCGUGCUGUGAGUUUUAAAUGGUUUGGCUAUCGAGCAUUGUGAUUACUCUCAUGAUUGGAGUCGCCAUUGGGCGCCUAUGCUUGUUUUUUUGCUAAAUUUUGGCAUGCCUAAUAGACUAAUUUGUUAAAUCACAACAAUUUAGUAAUCAUGCUAAAAAUCCAAUUUAGUAAGAACAUGGCUAUGAUGGGUAACAAUUAGCUAGCCCUUGUAAUUGAUAGACGUCAUUCUUUUGGCCACGAGAGGUCUGAAAAUAACUCACAAACAUUCAGACCAAUGGAGAAGCUUGUAUUACAUGUUCUAUAAAAUGGUUAUUCAUCAUCUAAUUCUUUAUAUAAACAAAUAACUACACAUGAAUAGAACAAUAAUGUUCCCUUAUAGUUUAUAAUAUUGCCACCUUUGUGAGUAUCAUUACCUUUGUGAAUAUCAUUUUGCCUCUACCAUCACAACCUCACAGUUAAUUUUUUUUUUCAUCAUUCAAUUUUUUUUUAAAAUUAGUCUUAUAAUUUGUUUUUUCAAUUCAGCUAUCCCCGAUUUCAUUACCAGAACUACAUGUUUGAUGAAUUUUUUUUGGGUCGCUGUUUUUUUAUUUAAAAUUUUAUUAGUUUCAUCCUUGAACAUUUGGUUCCUUUAGAAUUGAUUAUUGUAAUCAUUCUAAAGACAUGCAUAAAUUGUUUUAAGGCCUUAAAGUGCAUCUUCAUUCAUCUCAGAAACUGAAAAAAUAAAAAAAAAUCAAAUAAAAGAAACCUAAUUAUUUUUCCUGGCCUUGAUCUCUUUUUCUUUGUCCUUCUAGGGUGGUGUAAUCACCAUCAACAAAAUGGCCUUUUAAGGAAGAAGGGGACACUGGACACCAUUAUAGCAGGUUGCAAUGUCAGGAUCUAGAGGAAAGUUUCUCUCCUCGCCUAUCUCUCCUCGGUCCUGUCUCCGAUCUUUACAUACAGGGACUGAAUUUUAAAAAUAGUGUGUUUGUUUUUUAAAUAGGUUUUGUGGUUUUGAUUUUAAAAAAAUAAAUUUAAAAAAAGUGUGGUUAACUAUGAUUAGUUAAAUUUAAAUACGUGUUUAGUAAAAAUUAUAGUUGAAGUUUAUGUGUAACAAAAAUAAUGUAUAAAAUAUUUGGUGGAAGUAUAGUUGCCGUUGUUUUUUAAAGUGUUUUUUACUUGGAAAUGUAUCAAAAUAAUUUUUUUAAAAAAAUUAUUUUUGAUAUCAGCAUUGAUUUGAAAACAAAAAAAAUAUAUCAAUUUGAAGCAAAGAAAAAAAUAAAAAAAUUUAUUUUUUUCAAAAGCGCUUUUGAAACAUAAAAAUAAAUAGGGUUUUAUGAAACUCAAUUAAAAAAUCAUGUAAAAACUACUACAUAAAAAUUACGUUUCAAACUCAACUUUUUAGUAAGUCCCGCAUUACAAACCAAAGUUUAGUUUGUUAAUUACCAAACACUUUGCCAUGUUUGUUUCACCACAAACAAAAAACCAGUGAAGAAAUCCUAAAUAUCUAAAUAAUUUAUACAUGUUUUUUACUACACAUAACCUUUAACUAUAAUUUUUAUUAAACACAUAUUUAAAUUCAAUUAAUUACAAUUGACUCUAUUUAAAAAAAAAAACUUAUUUUUUUAAAUUAAAAUCUCAAAAACUAUCUAAAAAAUAAAGAAACGAGUGAGGAUGUUGAUGAUGCCAAGCAAGUCAGUGUAAAGUGGAAAUCUUGACAAGAUGUUGUAGCCUUCAUAAAAAGUACAAUGCAGUACAAAACGAGAGGUGAAUGUUUGAGAUUGUUAUAAUUUUUAAUUUUAUAUGAUUUUUAAAAGUAUAUUUUAUUUUAAAAAUAUAUUAAAUUAAUAUUUUUUUAAUAAUUUUUUCUAAAACAUAUUUUUCUAAAACAUAUUUUUAAAAAUAAUUUCCAUCACAACACUAAAAACAUAUAAAUAUUUAUCAUAGUAACAAGAAGUGAUAAUAUUUGAUGUAAAAACGGCUGAAUGUAUAUGUCAUGUUUCGAGAAGCGUCCAUGAUUAUAUCAUUAUGAUCCCAAAAAGAAAAAUAUUAAAUAUUAGGCUACAAUUAUUUAUAUACAGUUUUAAAACCUGGACCGGCCCGGCAGGUCAACUCGGGCCGAGACCGGUCCAGGUAGAGGCAAAAAUCUACUUGGAAAUUGACUCGGUAAAACCCGGUCGAUCUGCCGGGUUGACCCCGUGACCUGGACCACCCGGUCAAACCCGGCUGACACAUGAUCUCUCUUUCUCUCUUUCUCUAUAUAUAUAUAUAGACGUUAAACGACGUCGUUUUGGCCUUAAAAGGCCAAAACGAUGAACAAUGACGAAGCAGAAUUGGGGACACAUUGAUUACAGAGCAAACCCAAUUAACGAAAGAUUCCAUCACAGCCAAUGCAACUACAGUCUGGUCUAUAAGCUUUUGGCUUUCUUCUUUGCUCUUGCCAAUUAGGAUUUUUGCGUUUCGAGUGAUCGAUUUGCCCAUCAAAGUUGAAGUGAAGGGAGUGAGUUGGUUACAGAGAGAACUCCAUUCUAGGAUUUUAAGGGUUUUGAGUUGGAGUGAGCGAGCUGGAGGAGUGAGUUUCGGUGAGUGUGAAUCAAAGGGUUUUGUUAGGGCUUUGGUGGAGAAGGGUGGUUUGGUGGUGAAGAAGAGAAUCGGGGAUUUUUUAAUGGCUAUUAAAUGAUUGGAGAGUUUGAUUAAUGAAGGAUUUUUGAGGGAGAGAAGGAAAGGGAUGGGCUGUUUGACAACAACUUAUCCUUUUUAUUUUCAGCUUAUCUUUUAUUUUAGGUUGACUUGUUUUUAGGUUGACUCGUGUCAAUCAAUCUAACUCGUGAUUCGAUCACUUGACUAGAUUGAUAUCCGGAUCGAUUUUUAAAAUUAUGAUUUCUAUAAUUAGGUUACAUUUCGUUAUAGUCAUGUAUUUGAAAAAAUAUUUAGUUAAUAAAUAUAUAUAUAUAUAUAUAUAUAUAUAUAUGUUUUACUAAAAAUUAUUUUAAAAUUUUAAUUAAAAUAUAAUAUAUUUUAUAACUUUUUUUAAAAUGUAUUUUUUAAAAUCACAUAUCUAUCACAAAGAAAGAUCUUUUCAUACAUCCCAACUUUAGGCUAGAAGAUAUUCAGGGCCAUUCCACUACCCUAGCCAGAGUGUCUACGAGGGCCCCGCAGCAGCCCCGUAUGCAUCAACUUAUGGUAUCUCGCACGCUCAAAGCCCUUCUGCAAUCUCUCAACAACCCUACCAUCACUCUCAAAGCCCCAGUGCAAUUCCUCAACAACUCACUCACAGCCAGCGGAGACAUGAGUGCUGCCGGUUUCCGUGCCAGUGGUUCUUAUGGAAGCCAGACCGGUUACGGGGCAUAUGAUUACGGCUCUGCUGCACCCGUUACUUACCAACCUUCAUCCUACACUCAAUAAGAUGGGAGGAACCUAGCCAGGUGUUAAGAUUCUUAUUUUAUUUGGUGUCUGAUUUCUGGAUGUGGCCCUCUAAUUUUGGGACCCGCCCCCUUCAUCUCCCUUUCCCGUAUAAAAGUUUUUUUUUGGUCUUAUCUCAUGACUGGAUAUGAUGCCCAUGCCUGUAACGCUGAUUACCUUUAUAUGGAGCUCAAGCUGGAUGUGAUUUCCGUGCUGUGAGUUUUAAAUGGUUUGGCUAUCGAG